Cavia porcellus (domestic guinea pig) is the source of this 71-nucleotide transfer RNA. It matches the Rfam family "tRNA". Rfam says of the family: Transfer RNA (tRNA) molecules are approximately 80 nucleotides in length. Their secondary structure includes four short double-helical elements and three loops (D, anti-codon, and T loops). Lineage: Eukaryota; Metazoa; Chordata; Mammalia; Rodentia; Caviidae. The record is from Rfam.
GGGGAUUUAGCUCAGCGGCAUAAGCGCCUGCCUUGCAAGCAGGCAGUCGUGAGUUCGAUUCCUGGUACCUA